This 157-nucleotide ribosomal RNA is filed under the name uncultured Tomentella. Its description in RNAcentral is "5.8S ribosomal RNA". It matches the Rfam family "5.8S ribosomal RNA". From Rfam's summary of the family: 5.8S ribosomal RNA (5.8S rRNA) is a component of the large subunit of the eukaryotic ribosome. It is transcribed by RNA polymerase I as part of the 45S precursor that also contains 18S and 28S rRNA. Functionally, it is thought that 5.8S rRNA may be involved in ribosome translocation. The record is from RNAcentral. Lineage: Eukaryota; Fungi; Basidiomycota; Agaricomycetes; Thelephorales; Thelephoraceae.
ACAACUUUCAGCAACGGAUCUCUUGGCUCUCGCAUCGAUGAAGAACGCAGCGAAAUGCGAUAAGUAAUGUGAAUUGCAGAAUUCAGUGAAUCAUCGAAUCUUUGAACGCACCUUGCGCCCUUUGGUAUUCCAAAGGGCAUGCCUGUUUGAGUAUCAU